AAACUCAGCUGGUUAGAGUGUGGUGCUGAUAAUGCCAAGGUUGCAGGUUCGAGUCCUGAUCCUCA
This is a non-coding RNA of Podarcis lilfordi (Lilford's wall lizard), 65 nucleotides long. Lineage: Eukaryota; Metazoa; Chordata; Lepidosauria; Squamata; Lacertidae. The record is from the annotation of a GenBank genome assembly.